UUACUCUGGUUUUCCUUCAAAACGUAUAAAUCUUUCGCCUUUUACUAAAGAUUUCCGUGGAGGGGAACACUCAAACAAUUUGCUUGCGACGAUGUAAAUAUGAUUCUAAAAUUUUG
This is a small nuclear RNA of Nymphalis io (European peacock), 116 nucleotides long. RefSeq annotates it as U5 spliceosomal RNA. The record is from RefSeq and is a predicted model, not a curated record. NCBI's taxonomy places the organism in Eukaryota, Metazoa, Arthropoda, Insecta, Lepidoptera, Nymphalidae. The transcript has a single exon.